GAACGCACAUUGCACCCCUUGGUAUUCCGGGGGGUAUGCCUGUUCGAGCGUCAUAUCAACCAUCAAGCCUGGCUUGGUCUUGGACGUCGCCUAUGGGUGAGUCUCAAAACAAGUGGCGGUGCCACCCAGCCCCGAGCGUAGUAAGUUUCUCUCGCUCUGGGAGGUGGGUGUUAUGCCUGCAGAACCCUCAUGCUUAAGAUUUUGACCUCGGAUCAGGUAGGGAUACCCGCUGAACUUAAG
RNAcentral lists this unclassified non-coding RNA (240 nucleotides) under uncultured fungus. RNAcentral describes it as "sequence contains 5.8S rRNA gene". Lineage: Eukaryota; Fungi. The record is from RNAcentral.